AUUGAACGCUGGCGGCAGGCCUAACACAUGCAAGUCGAACGGUAACAGGAAGAGGCUUGCUUCUUUGCUGACGCGUGGCGCAGGGGUGAGUAAUGUCUGGGAAACUGCCUUAUGGAGGGGGAUAACUACUGGAAACGGUAGCUAUUACCGCAUAACGUCGCAAGCCCAAAAAGGGGGACCUUCGGGCCUCUUGCCAUCGGAUGUGCCCAGAUGGGAUUAGCUAGUAGGUGGGGUAACGGCUCACCUAGGCGACGAUCCCUAGCUGGUCUGAGAGGAUGACCAGCCACACUGGAACUGAGACACGGUCCAGACUCCUACGGGAGGCAGCAGUGGGGAAUAUUGCACAAUGGGCGCAAGCCUGAUGCAGCCAUGCCGCGUGUAUGAAGAAGGCCUUCGGGUUGUAAAGCACUUUUAGCGGGGAGGAAGGGAGUAAAGUUAAUACCUUUGCUCAUUGACGUUACCCGAAGAAGAAGCACCGGCUAACUUCGUG
RNAcentral lists this ribosomal RNA (490 nucleotides) under uncultured bacterium. Its description in RNAcentral is "partial 16S ribosomal RNA". It matches the Rfam family "Bacterial small subunit ribosomal RNA", at positions 30 to 507 of the family's 1533-position model. The record is from RNAcentral.